This 41-nucleotide ribosomal RNA is filed under the name Paracidovorax avenae. RNAcentral's name for it is "Acidovorax avenae partial 16S ribosomal RNA". The record is from RNAcentral. Lineage: Bacteria; Pseudomonadati; Pseudomonadota; Betaproteobacteria; Burkholderiales; Comamonadaceae.
CAAGGUAGCCGUAUCGGAAGGUGCGGCUGGAUCACCUCCUU